This 155-nucleotide non-coding RNA is filed under the name Pleomorphomonas diazotrophica. Its description in RNAcentral is "6S RNA". It matches the Rfam family "6S / SsrS RNA". From Rfam's summary of the family: E. coli 6S RNA was the first non coding RNA to be sequenced, but its function was unknown until recently. It consists of 184 nucleotides that fold into an extended hairpin structure with a large single-stranded internal bulge. Lineage: Bacteria; Pseudomonadati; Pseudomonadota; Alphaproteobacteria; Hyphomicrobiales; Pleomorphomonadaceae. The record is from RNAcentral.
GCGUAGCUGCGCUUCUCGUUAGGAAUCAACAUCCCCGGGGCCUUAAUGAUCCUGAAGGGAGCUGUCCCCGCCCGAACCCGUGGGUUUGGGCACACGGCGCCCACCUACGUUGUAGGUUUCCCGGGAUCACACUCCGACGGUCGUUCGUGGGCGCC